CCUAGACUACACCCGUGAGUGGGGAGGGAAUGAUCAUUAUUACAGGUACCGUUGGUGACUCGGUUCUGUUGGUGACUUGGUUCUGAUGGUGACUUCGUGUUCAGACAGUGUUCAGUUGACCUUAAGUUGGAUUUAUGUUCUGAUUUUGACUGAAGCUUCGACCUAGUAAUCAGAGAUUGCACAACCAGCCAGUCGUGUCUGCAUCAUGUGCAUCAUCGCAUAUUUAUUUUUCAAAAGAAACGCAUUGAAAAAAAAGAAAAUGAAAAAAAAAAAAGAAAAAAAAAAAAGAAAAAAAAAAAAAAAAAAAAAACUAAUCUCUGCAUGCAUAUCAUUUCUCAGGUAC
Molecule: long non-coding RNA, 343 nt
Filed under: Lathyrus oleraceus (garden pea)
Lineage: Eukaryota; Viridiplantae; Streptophyta; Magnoliopsida; Fabales; Fabaceae
Description: Pisum sativum (pea) long non-coding RNA (PSAT_LNC033830)
Source: RNAcentral